RNAcentral lists this microRNA (23 nucleotides) under Sarcophilus harrisii (Tasmanian devil). Its description in RNAcentral is "Sha-Mir-7398-P24c-v1_5p* (star (passenger))". Lineage: Eukaryota; Metazoa; Chordata; Mammalia; Dasyuromorphia; Dasyuridae. The record is from RNAcentral.
AGUGCAGAGGGUGGUGAGCAUGC